UACGGAGGGUGCAAGCGUUAUCCGGAAUUACUGGGUUUAAAGGGUGCGUAGGCGGCUUAGUAAGUCAGGGGUGAAAGGCUACGGCUCAACCGUGGAAUUGCCUUUGAUACUGCUGAGCUUGAAUGAGGUUGAGGUGAGCAGAAUGUGGCAUGUAGCGGUGAAAUGCAUAGAUAUGCCAUAGAAUACCGAUUGCGAAGGCAGCUCACUGGACCUGGAUUGACGCUGAGGCACGAAAGCGUGGGGAGCGAACAGG
This 253-nucleotide ribosomal RNA is filed under the name uncultured bacterium. RNAcentral's name for it is "partial 16S ribosomal RNA". It matches the Rfam family "Bacterial small subunit ribosomal RNA", at positions 524 to 776 of the family's 1533-position model. The record is from RNAcentral.